Molecule: non-coding RNA, 115 nt
Organism: Sphingorhabdus sp. M41
Lineage: Bacteria; Pseudomonadati; Pseudomonadota; Alphaproteobacteria; Sphingomonadales; Sphingorhabdaceae
Source: Rfam
CUUGGUGGCCAUAGCGCCUGUGCCCCACCCGAUCCCAUCUCGAACUCGGCCGUGAAACCAGGUUGCGCCGAUGGUACUUUGUCUCAAGGCAUGGAAGAGUAGGACGUCGCCAGGC